AUGCCUGGAAGAGGGCGAGGGACAACUUGGAGGCGGGCCGGAAGGAGCGCUUGCGCUUCGUCCUCGGCUGGGGCUUGUCUUGUCGAAGUUGUCCGGGGCGGGGGGGGGAGCGUUCGAAUACACAGCACACUAAUUCCACAGAGAUCCUGGCGAAGUCCUUGCUCUGUCGGCCCUGCUGGAUCACUUUCUCCAGUUGGAGGGGGACCCAGUCAUGGUGCAGCUCCAUCUUCCUGUCCAAAGGCUGUGUUCUUUGUGAGAACCUCAGGCUCAAUCAGGAGACAAUAUUCACCAACCACUAUGAAUAAAUUGGUGGGCUAUUUAGUAGCUUACCUGGAUAUAGAAAAAGAACGUGGACAAAUGGAAAACUUUUAAUAUUAGGAUGCUGUUGCAAGAGCUAUUGUGUGUGUGGAAGGGAAAGAACGUAACUGCUGUGCUGGACAUGCUAUUCAUGCAUUCUGAAUUGUCCAUCCAUCCAAAAACACAGUUGUAAACCGUCGGUAUGGGAGUCAGAAUUCCGACAGGUAAAUUCAACCUAUCAAGCUUUUUGCUCUGAUCUCCAACCCUCGA
RNAcentral lists this long non-coding RNA (567 nucleotides) under Salvator merianae (Argentine black and white tegu). Its description in RNAcentral is "lncRNA (ENSSMRG00000014869.1)". Lineage: Eukaryota; Metazoa; Chordata; Lepidosauria; Squamata; Teiidae. The record is from RNAcentral.